UCUCCAAAGAGACAUAGUAUUUCUCAUUCUCCAAAUAGUAAUUCUAAUGGCUCCUUUCUUGCACCAGAAAUGGAGCCAAUUGUUCCUGAACUGUGUAUUGACCAUUUGUGGACAGAAACGAUUACUAAUAUAAGAGAGAAAAAUUCACAAGCCUCAAAAGUGUUUAUUACAUCUGACCUAUGUGGGCAAAAGUUCCUGUGCUUUUUAGUAGAGUCCCAGCUCCACUUACGCUGUGUAAAGUUUCAAGAGAGUAACGAUAAAACCCAGCUCAUCUUUGGUUCAGUGACCAACAUACCAGCAAAGGAGCAGCACCAGUGGAGAAAAUAGACACCAUGCUGGUCUUGGAAGGCAGUGGAAACCUGGUGCUA
RNAcentral lists this long non-coding RNA (368 nucleotides) under Pan troglodytes (chimpanzee). RNAcentral describes it as "long non-coding RNA NONPTRT010259". Lineage: Eukaryota; Metazoa; Chordata; Mammalia; Primates; Hominidae. The record is from RNAcentral.